Molecule: long non-coding RNA, 509 nt
Organism: Nannospalax galili (Upper Galilee mountains blind mole rat)
Lineage: Eukaryota; Metazoa; Chordata; Mammalia; Rodentia; Spalacidae
Exons: 3
Source: RefSeq, a predicted model, not a curated record
UCCUAUUCCAGGCAAAACCAGUUUUGCUUGUUUUUUUGAAGUAUGCAUUUAGAGAGAGAUAUAACACAUUGGUCUUCUAAAGCAGCCAAUAAAGACCUUUGUUUAAAUUGUGUCUCAUGUAAAUUAAUCUUUGAGGAAAGCAUUCGUGAGCCUUUUAGCCAUCGGUUGCUGCUGUUUUUACAAGUGGAAACAAAGUGAACAGAUCAAAACCAGGAUAUGAUGGAGACUGCACCAAUGUUUGCUCUUAGAGGUUUCAGUACCUCAAUUGACAUUAGUAACCACAAUCACUAACACGGAAUUUUUGCCUUAAGAAAAGAAACUUUGGAACUUUGAACCAGUCAUUGCACUUGAUCCAGUAUGACUUCGUGUUAACUUGAGGGCAUCCGCAAAAGUGCUAUUUCCAAAGGAGAUUACAUUCACAAGAUCAUUGGUAUCGAAGACAAGACGAGCCUCCUGAUACAGAUCCAUGUUUUGUCACCAAGGGGAAAAACCUGCUGGAAAACAAAAUC